CCAUAAGGGAACCUAAUCUCUUCAAUAUUGGUUAAAUCCAGGACUUCCAUUUAUAGAGGAACAGAGAAUUCUUACUACAGGAAGGUUGUAAAGAAUUUGGUGUGAAAUAAUGCAAUUAGGCAGUUGUGGAAAUGAGGAUGUUGGAGCAUGAGAGAACAGGGGUUUGCAAGGCAGUGUCUUCUGUUAUUUCUAAUAGGAUUUCUUAGGAUUCGUGGAUCAGUAAAAAAUGAAAACUGACAGCAAGGAUGCCUCUACCAAAAGCUGAACAAGUCUGUAGAUCCUGGUCUUGGAAAUAUUGCUGGUCUGGAAUUGGAAGUCUCUCACCAGCUCCCCUCAACUGAACACAGAGCAGCUCCCAAAAAGAAUGUGCAGGAGAGAGACUCAGAAGAAGGGUGGGACUCCAAUGGGGGAAAAAAGAAGCAAUGACAAACAGAAACACAGCAAAGCAGGACAGUGUGGCUGGCAGGGAAGGGACUUCAUGGAAAAACGUGAUGACAGAUGUUGGUGGAGUGUUUACACAGUGGCUAUUUAGGAAAAACAAUGUCUGAAGCCUCAUCAGAUUGACUACAAAGCUUCCAGUGAUCUUCCCUCUUCAGCUGUGGACAAUACCUUAACUGCAGGGAUGAUGUUAUGUUGG
This is a long non-coding RNA of Vidua chalybeata, 637 nucleotides long. RefSeq lists it as uncharacterized. The record is from RefSeq and is a predicted model, not a curated record. Lineage: Eukaryota; Metazoa; Chordata; Aves; Passeriformes; Viduidae. The transcript is spliced from 4 exons.